AACGCUAGCUACAGGCUUAACACAUGCAAGUCGAGGGGCAGCAUUGGAGUAGCAAUACUUCAGAUGGCGACCGGCGCACGGGUGAGUAACACGUAUCCAACCUGCCGCUUACUCGGGGAUAGCCUUUCGAAAGAAAGAUUAAUACCCGAUGGUAUAAAGAGUUCGCAUGUUCUCUUUAUUAAAGAAUUUCGGUAAGCGAUGGGGAUGCGUUCCAUUAGAUAGUUGGCGGGGUAACGGCCCACCAAGUCUACGAUGGAUAGGGGUUCUGAGAGGAAGGUCCCCCACAUUGGAACUGAGACACGGUCCAAACUCCUACGGGAGGCAGCAGUGAGGAAUAUUGGUCAAUGGGCGCUAGCCUGAACCAGCCAAGUAGCGUGAAGGAUGAAGGCUCUAUGGGUCGUAAACUUCUUUUAUAUAAGAAUAAAGUGCAGUAUGUAUACUGUUUUGUAUGUAUUAUAUGAAUAAGGAUCGGCUAACUCCGUGCCAGCAGCCGCGGUAAUACGGAGGAUUCGAGCGUUAUCCGGAUUUAUUGGGUUUAAAGGGAGCGUAAGUGGACUGGUAAGUCAGUUGUGAAAGUUUGCGGCUCAACCGUAAAAUUGCAGUUGAUACUGUCAGUCUUGAGUACAGUAGAGGUGGGCGGAAUUCGUGGUGUAGCGGUGAAAUGCUUAGAUAUCACGAAGAACUCCGAUUG
This 691-nucleotide ribosomal RNA is filed under the name uncultured Bacteroidales bacterium. Its description in RNAcentral is "bacterial SSU rRNA". It matches the Rfam family "Bacterial small subunit ribosomal RNA", at positions 32 to 715 of the family's 1533-position model. The record is from RNAcentral. Lineage: Bacteria; Pseudomonadati; Bacteroidota; Bacteroidia; Bacteroidales.